RNAcentral lists this ribosomal RNA (800 nucleotides) under uncultured archaeon. RNAcentral's name for it is "bacterial SSU rRNA". It matches the Rfam family "Archaeal small subunit ribosomal RNA", at positions 76 to 879 of the family's 1478-position model. The record is from RNAcentral.
AUUGCCCUUACUGCUCAGUAACACGUAGUCAACAUGCCCAGGGGACGUGGAUAACCUCGGGAAACUGAGGAUAAACCACGAUAGGUCAUCACUUCUGGAAUGGGUAAUGACUUAAAUCUAUAUGGCCCCUGGAUUGGACUGCGGCCGAUCAGGCUGUUGGUGAGGUAAUGGCCCACCAAACCUGUAACCGGUACGGGCUCUGAGAGGAGGAGCCCGGAGAUGGGCACUGAGACAAGGGCCCAGGCCCUAUGGGGCGCAGCAGGCGCGAAACCUCUGCAAUAGGCGAAAGCUUGACAGGGUUACUCUGAGUGAUUUCCGUUAAGGAGAUCUUUUGGCACCUCUAAAAAUGGUGCAGAAUAAGGGGUGGGCAAGUCUGGUGUCAGCCGCCGCGGUAAUACCAGCACCCCGAGUGGUCGGGACGUUUAUUGGGCCUAAAGCAUCCGUAGCCGGUUCUACAAGUCUUCCGUUAAAUCCACCUGCUUAACAGAUGGGCUGCGGAAGAUACUAUAGAGCUAGGAGGCGGGAGAGGCAAGCGGUACUCGAUGGGUAGGGGUAAAAUCCGUUGAUCCAUUGAAGACCACCAGUGGCGAAGGCGGCUUGCCAGAACGCGCUCGACGGUGAGGGAUGAAAGCUGGGGGAGCAAACCGGAUUAGAUACCCGGGUAGUCCCAGCUGUAAACGAUGCAGACUCGGUGAUGAGUUGGCUUAUUGCUAACUCAGUGCCGCAGGGAAGCCGUUAAGUUUGCCGCCUGGGGAGUACGGUCGCAAGACUGAAACUUAAAGGAAUUGGCGGGGGAGCAC